Podarcis raffonei (Aeolian wall lizard) is the source of this 589-nucleotide long non-coding RNA. RefSeq lists it as uncharacterized. NCBI's taxonomy places the organism in Eukaryota, Metazoa, Chordata, Lepidosauria, Squamata, Lacertidae. The transcript is spliced from 2 exons. The record is from RefSeq and is a predicted model, not a curated record.
CGGCGAUUGAGAAAGAGAAUACAGAUGGGAGAAGGGGGCUGAGCAAAGCUUCCAGAAAUCUAUGGUGAGAUUGUAGGAGGAGACUCCGCCAUUUUGGAUGCUGGCGGGAGUCGUCGCAAGCCCUUUACUGUCAGGUCCUGGUCCACAGCUUGUCCAUUCCUUCACAACUGGAUGAGCAACCUCAGAAUUCUCCCCUCAAAACAUGGAGAGUCUGCUCCCUGACAGGCAUAUCUUAUAAAGGCUUAGCAAAGAGGGUUAAUCUCUUUGAUCAUUUCACAAAGAGCGAACAUUUGAUGCUAUAAUAAAGACAUAAAAAGUGUGGCUCUUAUUUUGAGGCAGUGCAAUAUGGACAAUGCCUGUGUACACAUUCCUAAAAGAGCUACAAUUCCCAGCAGCCUUAAGAAACUAUGGUUCCCAAUAUACUUGGGACAGGGGGAGUCAAGUGCUUUAAAUUGUGUUGAAGCCACAUUCAAAAUCUGGACACAUCUUAGAGUAAACGCAUCUCUCUUGCUUUGCGUUACACUGUAAGCAAAGGGAUGUGGUUGUGGCAACUAUAUUGUCUUACUGUUCACUAAAGCAUUUGAUCUAA